GUCUACAACCAUACCACCCUGAACAGACCCGAUGUCAUCUGAUCUUGGAAGCUAAGCAAGGUCGGGCCUGGUUAGUACUUGGAUGUGAGACUGCUUGGGAAUAUCGGGUGCUGUGGUCC
Molecule: ribosomal RNA, 119 nt
Organism: Capra hircus (goat)
Lineage: Eukaryota; Metazoa; Chordata; Mammalia; Artiodactyla; Bovidae
Source: Ensembl